UACGGGGGGAGCAAGCGUUGUUCGGAUUUACUGGGCGUAAAGGGCGCGUAGGCGGCGUGGUAAGUCAGCUGUGAAAUCUCCGAGCUUAACUCGGAACGGUCAGCUGAUACUGCUGUGCUAGAGUGCAGAAGGGGCAAUCGGAAUUCUUGGUGUAGCGGUGAAAUGCGUAGAUAUCAAGUGGAACACCAGUGGCGAAGGCGAGUCCCUGGACGAUACCUGACACUGAGGCACGAAAGCUAGGGGAGCAAACAGG
RNAcentral lists this ribosomal RNA (253 nucleotides) under uncultured prokaryote. RNAcentral's name for it is "partial 16S ribosomal RNA". It matches the Rfam family "Bacterial small subunit ribosomal RNA", at positions 524 to 776 of the family's 1533-position model. The record is from RNAcentral.